ACAGCAGUUUUACUGACGCUCAUGCUCGAAAGUGCGGGUAUCGAACAGGAUUAGAUACCCUGGUAGUCCGCACGGUAAACGAUGGAUGCCCGCUGUUUGCCAUUUGUGGUAAGCGGCCAAGCGAAAGCAUUAAGCAUCCCACCUGGGGAGUACGCCGGCAACGGUGAAACUCAAAGGAAUUGACGGGGGCCCGCACAAGCGGAGGAACAUGUGGUUUAAUUCGAUGAUACGCGAGGAACCUUACCCGGGCUUGAACUGCACAGGAAUGCGGGAGAGAUCCCAAAGCCCUUCGGGGCCUGUGUGGAGGUGCUGCAUGGUUGUCGUCAGCUCGUGCCGUGAGGUGUCGGCUUAAGUGCCAUAACGAGCGCAACCCUUCUCUUCAGUUGCCAUCACUUCGGGUGGGCACUCUGGAGACACUGCCACCGUAAGGUGUGAGGAAGGUGGGGAUGACGUCAAAUCAGCACGGCCCUUACGUCCGGGGCUACACACGUGUUACAAUGGCGCGUACAGAGGGCUGGCAUACGGUAACGUGUGUCUAAUCCUUAAAACGCGUCUCAGUUCGGACUGGGGUCUGCAACCCGACCCCACGAAGCUGGAUUCG
Molecule: ribosomal RNA, 601 nt
Filed under: uncultured bacterium
Lineage: Bacteria
Description: bacterial SSU rRNA
Rfam family: Bacterial small subunit ribosomal RNA
Source: RNAcentral